RNAcentral lists this ribosomal RNA (463 nucleotides) under uncultured bacterium. RNAcentral's name for it is "partial 16S ribosomal RNA". It matches the Rfam family "Bacterial small subunit ribosomal RNA", at positions 339 to 795 of the family's 1533-position model. The record is from RNAcentral.
CUACGGGGGGCAGCAGUGGGGAAUAUUGCACAAUGGGCGCAAGCCUGAUGCAGCCAUGCCGCGUGUAUGAAGAAGGCCUUCGAGUUGUAAAGUACUUUCAGCGGGGAGGAAGGGAGUAAAGUUAAUACCUUUGCUCAUUGACGUUACCCGCAGAAGAAGCACCGGCUAACUCCGUGCCAGCAGCCGCGGUAAUACGGAGGGUGCAAGCGUUAAUCGGAAUUACUGGGCGUAAAGCGCACGCAGGCGGUUUGUUAAGUCAGAUGUGAAAUCCCCGGGCUCAACCUGGGAACUGCAUCUGAUACUGGCAAGCUUGAGUCUCGUAGAGGGGGGUAGAAUCCAGGUGUAGCGGUGACAUGCGUAGAGAUCUGGAGGAAUACCGGUGGCGAAGGCGGCCCCCUGGACGAAGACUGACGCUCAGGUGCGAAAGCGUGGGGAGCAAACAGGAUUAGAUACCCCUGUAGUC